Molecule: ribosomal RNA, 428 nt
Filed under: Chloroflexota bacterium
Lineage: Bacteria; Bacillati; Chloroflexota
Description: Chloroflexi bacterium partial 16S ribosomal RNA
Rfam family: Bacterial small subunit ribosomal RNA
Source: RNAcentral
UGGGGAAUAUUGCACAAUGGGCGCAAGCCUGAUGCAGCCAUGCCGCGUGUAUGAAGAAGGCCUUCGGGUUGUAAAGUACUUUCAGUCGGGAGGAAGGUGGUAAGGUUAAUAACCUUAUCAAUUGACGUUACCGACAGAAGAAGCACCGGCUAACUCCGUGCCAGCAGCCGCGGUAAUACGGAGGGUGCAAGCGUUAAUCGGAAUUACUGGGCGUAAAGCGCACGCAGGCGGUUGAUUGAGUCAGAUGUGAAAUCCCCGGGCUUAACCCGGGAAUUGCAUCUGAUACUGGUCAGCUAGAGUCUUGUAGAGGGGGGUAGAAUUCCAUGUGUAGCGGUGAAAUGCGUAGAGAUGUGGAGGAAUACCGGUGCGAAGGCGGCCCCCUGGACAAAGACUGACGCUCAGGUGCGAAAGCGUGGGGAGCAAACAGG